GAUGAACGCUGACAGAAUGCUUAACACAUGUAAGUCUACUUGAACUUCGGUUUGGGUGGCGGACGGGUGAGUAACGCGUAAAGAACUUGCCUCACAGUUAGGGACAACAUUUGGAAACGAAUGCUAAUACCUGAUAUUAUGAUUUUAGGGCAUCCUAAGAUUAUGAAAGCUAUAUGCGCUGUGAGAGAGCUUUGCGUCCCAUUAGCUAGUUGGAGAGGUAACGGCUCACCAAGGCGAUGAUGGGUAGCCGGCCUGAGAGGGUGAACGGCCACAAGGGGACUGAGACACGGCCCUUACUCCUACGGGAGGCAGCAGUGGGGAAUAUUGGACAAUGGACCAAAAGUCUGAUCCAGCAAUUCUGUGUGCACGAUGACGUUUUUCGGAAUGUAAAGUGCUUUCAGUUGGGAAGAAAAAAAUGACGGUACCAACAGAAGAAGUGACGGCUAAAUACGUGCCAGCAGCCGCGGUAAUACGUAUGUCACAAGCGUUAUCCGGAUUUAUUGGGCGUAAAGCGCGUCUAGGUGGUUAUGUAAGUCUGAUGUGAAAAUGCAGGGCUCAACUCUGUAUUGCGUUGGAAACUGCAUGACUAGAGUACUGGAGAGGUAAGCGGAACUACAAGUGUAGAGGUGAAAUUCGUAGAUAUUUGUAGGAAUGCCGAUGGGGAAGCCAGCUUACUGGACAGAUACUGACGCUAAAGCGCGAAAGCGUGGGUAGCAAACAGG
Molecule: ribosomal RNA, 722 nt
Filed under: uncultured Fusobacterium sp.
Lineage: Bacteria; Fusobacteriati; Fusobacteriota; Fusobacteriia; Fusobacteriales; Fusobacteriaceae
Description: bacterial SSU rRNA
Rfam family: Bacterial small subunit ribosomal RNA
Source: RNAcentral